UGGGGAAUUUUGGACAAUGGGGGCAACCCUGAUCCAGCCAUGCCGCGUGCGGGAAGAAGGCCUUCGGGUUGUAAACCGCUUUUGGUCGGGAAGAAAAGACUGAGGCUAAUAUCCUUGGUUCUUGACGGUACCGGCAGAAUAAGCACCGGCUAACUACGUGCCAGCAGCCGCGGUAAUACGUAGGGUGCGAGCGUUAAUCGGAAUUACUGGGCGUAAAGCGUGCGCAGGCGGUUAGUUAAGUCUGAUGUGAAAGCCCCGGGCUCAACCUGGGAAUGGCAUUGGAAACUGGCUGGCUAGAGUGUGGCAGAGGGGGGUGGAACUCCGCGUGUAGCAGUGAAAUGCGUAGAGAUGCGGAAGAACACCGAUGGCGAAGGCAGCCCCCUGGGCUAACACUGACGCUCAGGCACGAAAGCGUGGGGAGCAAACA
RNAcentral lists this ribosomal RNA (427 nucleotides) under uncultured beta proteobacterium. RNAcentral describes it as "partial 16S ribosomal RNA". It matches the Rfam family "Bacterial small subunit ribosomal RNA", at positions 355 to 774 of the family's 1533-position model. Lineage: Bacteria; Pseudomonadati; Pseudomonadota; Betaproteobacteria. The record is from RNAcentral.